AUGGAUCCAGACGAAAAAAGAGCGUUGAGGGAUUAUUUCUACAACAAAUUCAAAAUUCCUGGCAUCGUAGGAUGUAUCGAUGGGACGCAUAUUCAAAUAACUAAACCUCAUAUCAAUGAAAAUUUAUUCUUCAACAGAAAAGGAUAUUUUAGUAUGAAUGCGAUGCUUAUUUGUGACAGCAAUAUGAUAAUACGUGCGGUUGAUUCACGAUACCCCGGCGCAAGCCAUGAUUCUUUCGUAUGGAAUGUAAGCAAUGCGCGGCAAUAUUUUCUACAGGAAUACGAAAAUGGAGACCGAUCAUCAAGACUACUGGGCGAUUCCGGAUAUGGUAUAGAACCAUUUAUGUUAACACCCUAUCGGGAUCCCCAAUAUGCAUCUCAACAAUAUAAAUUUAAUAACGCGCAUUCCUCAGCCCGCAACAUAAUAGAACGAACUAUAGGAGUUUUAAAGAGCCGAUUUCGUUGCUUGCAAAGGACUUUACACUAUCAACCUAAGAAGGUAGUUAAAAUUGUAAAUGUCUGUUGCGCGCUGCAUAACAUCUGUCGACAGUAUAAUGUAGAAUGGAAUGAAAAUGCUAAUCUUACAACAUCAGAGAAUUUUCAUGAAGACACUUUUAUGCUGCAAACUAGCAAUAUGCAAAAUGAGGGCCGUAGGUUAAGGGAUGAGAUUGCUAAUAGUCUUUAAGCAAUAAUGUCAUCACCUACAAGAUUAUAGUAUACUACGGUCUAUGUUACAUGCAAACUUUGAAUUUAUUUAGGAAGAAGGGAGAAACAGAGUACCGCUCUAUUAAGGUCAUAUAUAAGGGGAAUUAUGAUCAGGAUGAGUAGCUGGUUAAAUAGGCAAAGAAAACAAAACAUAAGGUGCGAAUGUGUGACUAUUAUUCAAUGGAUACACUUUACAUUUGAACCGAUGAUGCAAAGACGGUCGACGAAAAAGUCUUUGCUUUGGAUUUAAAACCUGAUGAAUUUGUGACAGCCAUAGUUAAAUAACGGGUCGCUUAAGUCGGAGGUUAUGCUUUGCAGGUUGCCAAGUAUCAUCGGGGCCGUAUCUUGCUCCAGUACCAAUUUAACAACAGGCACAUAUCAAGAAUGUACUUGAGGAUUUUGUUAAAUUGGUGAUUCCGAUACGAAACUAUGGCAAGCUGGUGAAAGUGCAUACAAAAAUGCGGCAUUCAAAAGUGCGAAUAUUCAACUAACGCCAAAGCAGGUGGUCUAUGUGAGAAUGCCGAGGUUUGCACGGUUAAGUGGCACAUAAACGUUUAGAUGAAUACUAUGAGAGUUUUAAUUAAUUUACUACCGAAUUUUUUUAAGCCUGUUGGGAAAACAAUUUUUGCUUUUAUUUAGUUAGGUGUUAAUUACAAAUAAGAGUUUUACAUACAGUCACUCACACAAGUAUUCGUAAUUUAGUUUUUUUCACAAUAUUCAAAAUG
RNAcentral lists this unclassified non-coding RNA (1429 nucleotides) under Rhagoletis pomonella (apple maggot). Its description in RNAcentral is "putative nuclease HARBI1, transcript variant X3". Lineage: Eukaryota; Metazoa; Arthropoda; Insecta; Diptera; Tephritidae. The record is from RNAcentral.